UACGUAGGGUGCGAGCGUUGUCCGGAAUUACUGGGCGUAAAGAGCUCGUAGGUGGUUUGUCGCGUUGUUCGUGAAAACUCACAGCUUAACUGUGGGCGUGCGGGCGAUACGGGCAGACUGGAGUACUGCAGGGGAGACUGGAAUUCCUGGUGUAGCGGUGGAAUGCGCAGAUAUCAGGAGGAACACCGGUGGCGAAGGCGGGUCUCUGGGCCGAUACUGACGCUGAGGAGCGAAAGCGUGGGGAGCGAACAGG
This 253-nucleotide ribosomal RNA is filed under the name uncultured bacterium. RNAcentral's name for it is "partial 16S ribosomal RNA". It matches the Rfam family "Bacterial small subunit ribosomal RNA", at positions 524 to 776 of the family's 1533-position model. The record is from RNAcentral.